UACGUAGGGGGCAAGCGUUGUCCGGAAUUAUUGGGCGUAAAGCGCGCGCAGGCGGCCUUGUAAGUCUGUCGUUUAAACUCGGAGCUCAACUUCGAGUCGCGAUGGAAACUGCAAAGCUUGAGUGCGGCAGAGGAGACUGGAAUUCCUGGUGUAGCAGUGAAAUGCGUAGAUAUCAGGAGGAAUACCGAUGGCGAAGGCAGGUCUCUGGGCUGACACUGACGCUCAUGCACGAAAGCGUGGGGAGCAAACAGG
RNAcentral lists this ribosomal RNA (252 nucleotides) under uncultured bacterium. RNAcentral describes it as "partial 16S ribosomal RNA". It matches the Rfam family "Bacterial small subunit ribosomal RNA", at positions 524 to 776 of the family's 1533-position model. The record is from RNAcentral.